CGUCCGGCCGGCCCCGGCCUCGCCGCCCCGCGCAGUACCCACCCGGCCCCGCCGACCCGCCUCUACUGCCGGCUCCGCGCCCUUCCCCGGGGGCUGGAUGAUGGGCUGUUUCGCCCUGCAAACGGUGGACACCGAGCUGACGGCGGACUCGGUGGAGUGGUGCCCGCUGCAAGGCUGCAGGCACCUGCUGGCGUGCGGGACCUACCAGCUGCGGCGGCCGGAGGACCGGCCUGCCGGCCCCCAGAAUAAGGUGUCACAUCCCGGUGGCUGGACAUGCCCUCUUGGGCUUGGCAGAUGCCAGUGGAUCCAUACAACUGCUCCGCCUGGUGGAAUCUGAGGUCAGUGACUUGCACUUGUUCUGUGGGGCAGAAGGGACCUGAAUAGAGAGGGUUGGGGAGGAGGCUGUGCUGAUACAGACAUUUUUCUAAAACGAUCUCUCUUCAAUGGUGAGCUAUAUAUAAACGUUCUAAGAUAAUGUGGAGUCUAUUUUUAAGUUGUAUUGCGUUCUACAUCCAACUCCAAGAGGAAGUCACCUCAUGUGUCACCAGCAGAAGGGCUGAAGUGACAGGAUGUUCAUUGACCUGUCAGUGGAUCUGAAAGUUCUCUAAGGAGAGCCUGGGCAAGCAUUCUUAGGUUGAUGCUGGGGCCCAGAGUAGCAGUGAGCGUCCUGUGUGAAGAUGGCAUUUCUCACUGAUUAUUGGAAAAGCACUAGAAGAGCCACGUGCUGGAGCCAUUGUCCAGCCUUGCCCUGGAGGAGCAGUGUCUGGCUUUGUCCCUCGAUUGGUCCACUGGGAAAACUGGAAGGGCGGGGGACCAGCCCUUGAAGAUCAUCAGCAGUGACUCCACAGGGCAGCUCCACCUCCUGAUGGUGAAUGAGACGAGGCCCAGGCUGCAGAAAGUGGCCUCAUGGCAGGCACAUCA
Molecule: small RNA, 921 nt
Filed under: Pan troglodytes (chimpanzee)
Lineage: Eukaryota; Metazoa; Chordata; Mammalia; Primates; Hominidae
Description: processed transcript
Source: RNAcentral